Long non-coding RNA from Mirounga angustirostris (Northern elephant seal), 3402 nucleotides. RefSeq lists it as uncharacterized. The record is from RefSeq and is a predicted model, not a curated record. The transcript is spliced from 3 exons. Lineage: Eukaryota; Metazoa; Chordata; Mammalia; Carnivora; Phocidae.
CCCACUCCCUCUUUUGGUAUGACCCACAAGCUUAAGAGUGGUUUUUACAUGUCAAAUGGUUGUAGAAAAAAAUCGAAAGAAGAAUAAUAUUCUGUGACACAUGAAAGUUGCCUGAAAUUCAAAUUCUGGUGUCCGUCAAUAAAGUUUUAUUGGAGCAUACCCAACCUGUUGGUUUACAUAUCCCCCAGGGCUGUUUUUGCACUCCGAUGAGAGGUGAGUGGUUGUGACACUUCAUGGCUCAUGAAGCCUAAAAUAUUUACCUCUGUCCUUUUACAGGAAAAAUUUGCCAACCUCUGAUAUGAGAUCCUGAAUGAAGAGCACUUUAGAACAAUGCCUGGCACAGGGUGUUUAGUAAACUCUGUUAUUAUUAAUAAGUGGGUAUUUAUAAACUCUUCUUCCCCUAGGAUGUGUUUAAAGGCAGUAAUUGUAGGGGCACCUGGGUGACUCAGUCAGUUAAGCAUCUGACUGUAUUUCGACUCCGGUCAUGAUCUCAGGGUUGUGGGAUCAGGCUCUGCAGUGGGCGUGGAGCCUGCUUAAGAUUUUCCUUCGCCCUCUGCCCUCUGCCUCUCUCUCUCUCUCUCUCCCCCGCCUAAAAAAAAUAAAAAAUAAAUAAAAGCAGUAAUUGUUUUUAUAUUUCAUUGCACCUAAGGCACAUUUUUAAAAUAUUUUAUCAUUCCUCGGGGCGCCUGGGUGGCUCAGUCGUUAAGCGUCUGCCUUCGGCUCAGGUCAUGAUCCCAGGGUCCUGGGAUCGAGCCCCGCAUCGGGCUCCCUGCUCUGCAGGAGGCCUGCUUCUCCCUCUCCCACUCCCCCUGCUUGUGUUCCUGCUCUCGCUGUGUCUCUCUCUGCCAAAUAAAUAAAUAAAAUCUUAAAAAAAAAAAAUUUUAUCAUUCCUCAAAGUGGAAUGGAACUUCCAAUCAGAGGCAUAUUAUAGUUAAUUGACAUAGUUAAUUGGUAGCAUUUUCUUUCCUGAUGGUGCAUAAAUUAGUGAGGGGGCCUUAGAAUUGCUGACCUCUUACAUCCAGUAAAAUACAGUACGGUAAAAUGUUUAAGGACGGGAAUUAAAACACUGCGGUCAUUCAAUUAACAAGCUUCUGACAGGGGGACACACUUAUUAAUAAAUGAGUACGACUCAGGUACUAAGUGUCAGGGUACAGACUGGGGAGGCCAAAAAAGGGACCCUUACCCAGCUAGGAGAAGGUUAUGAGGGAAAGAUGCCCAAAGGAGAGGGUGUCUACAUGGAGACAGAAGGACUGAUAAUAGAAUAGAAAUGUCUGGAUGAAAGGCCUCUGAGAGAUGGGCUUUAUUUACCAUUUCCCCCGGGAGCCUCAGUUUCCUCUCCUGUAAAAUGGGACAGCAAUAACCUCAAGAGACCGGGCGCCUGGGUGGCUCAGUUGGUUAAGCGACUGCCUUCAGCUCAGGUCAUGAUCCUGGAGUCCCGGGAUCAAGCCCCGAGUUGGGCUCCCUGCUCACUGGGGAGCCUGCUUCUCCCUCUGACCCUCCUCCCUCUCAUGCUCUCUGUCUCUCAUUCUCUCUCUCGCAAAUAAAUAAAAUCUUAAAAAAAAAAGUCUGGGGCGCCUGGGUGGCUCAGUUGGUUAAGCGACUACCUUCAGCUCAGGUCAUGAUCCUGGAGUCCCGGGAUCGAGUCCCGCAUCGGGCUCCCUGCUUGGCAGGGAGUCUGCUUCUCCCUCUGACCCUCCUCCCUCUCACGCUGUCUCUCAUUCUCUCUCUCUCUCUCAAAUAAAUAAAUAAAAUCUAAAAAAAAUAAAAUAAAAAAAAUAACCUCAAGAGACCAACUCUCAGAUUUUCUGUGGGACCAGAUGAAGCCCCAGUAUCUUGUGUGAAGUCUCCAUGGCUGACCAUUUCUGUCUCUCCCACUAGCUUGGAAGCAGGGACAUGGCUUCUUGCCUCUCUUGGUCCCCGGUACAAACCUCAAAGCAGGUUUGUUGAACGAACCCAUGAAGAUGAGCCCAGGAGCCCAGGAGAGGGACCAGGAAGUAGCAGGGCCUCCAUGACUCAGAUAGGCUUGUCCCUGAACCAAGGACACAGCCUGCCAACAUAGCCCUGAGCCACGCCCUGGGCUGCCAGGGGGACUGACGCCACAGUGAGAAAUGACACCUUUCUGUUGUAAUUUCUUUGAGACCAGUAUGAAUUGAGACAUAAUUUCCUUUUCAUAAUUAGAAAACACUAAUUAAUGGUAGAGGGAGCAAAUGAGAUCAUGGUUGGUCUCUUCCAAACUUCCCUAAGGAAGGAGGGGCAAGGGUUAUCUGCAGUGUGUUCAAAGUCAUAGGCGAAGACUCAAGAAUUGUGGAUCGCAGUUUUGCCUUUGUGGUUUUUCAUCAUGAAAAGUGGGGUCCAGGCACAUGGCCUCAAGGUGAACUCCGGGUGAAGUAGAAGCCGUCCGUGAAAGCAGCCAGCUCAGCUGAGGCGACAGAAAGCAGCACUGUCGGAUUUACAAGCAGAGACCCCUGGCAACAUUAGCUCCCGUGAUGCGUACUGUAUGGCAGGCCCAGCUCCUACUCCAGCUGCUAGGACCAGCCCAGCACAGUGGAACUAGUCCUGGUCCACAUUGGAAAUGCCUGGGAUCUAAAAUCCUGACACCUGGGUCCCAUCCCCAGAACUUCUGAUGUAACCAGCCUCAGGUGGGGGCCUGGGCAUGGGAACGCUUAAAAUCAUCCCAAGGGAGGCACCUGGGUGGCUCAGUUGGUUAAGCGACUGCCUUCAGCUCAGGUCAUGACCCCAGGGUCCUGGGAUCGAGUCCCACAGCAGGCUCCCCCUGCUCUGCGGGGAGCCUGCUUCUCCCUCUGCCUCUGCCUCUGCCUGCCACUCCCCUGCUUGUGCUCUCUCUCUCUCUCUCUCUGUCAAAUAAAUAAAUAAAAUCUUUAAAAAAAUAAAAUAAAAUCAUCCCAAGGGUUCUUAUGUUUAAAAAGUAAAAGUACUGGGGCGCCUGGGUGGCUCAGUCGUUAAGCAUCUGCCUUCAGCUCAGGUCAUGAUCCCGGGGUCCUGGGAUCGAGCCCCGCAUCGGGCUCCCUGCUCCGCGGGAAGCCUGCUUCUCCCUCUCCUGCUUCCCCUGCUUGUGUUCCUCUCUCGCUGUGUCUCUCUCUGUCAAAUAAAUAAAUAAAAUCUUUAAAAAAAAAAAAGUAAAAGUACUGACCUGAAGGAUUAUCUUUAACUUCCAGCAUGUUGUUGACAGAAAAAGCAAGCUGAGGAAUCUGCACAGCGGUUGGCACUUAGUAGGUGCUCAAUAUAUGGUCACUGAAUAAUUGAAGUAUAUAGAGUAGCUUCCCUGCUUUUUUUUUUUUUUUUUUUAAAGGCUACGUAUGUGUGGGGGCCUGUAAUCAAUCACACAGGAAAACCUGGGAGGCCCCGGCCAUGCACACAGAUCCUUCUGAAAGAUGGAUGGAG